RNAcentral lists this ribosomal RNA (183 nucleotides) under Bathytoshia brevicaudata (pitted stingray). RNAcentral's name for it is "partial large subunit ribosomal RNA". The record is from RNAcentral. Lineage: Eukaryota; Metazoa; Chordata; Chondrichthyes; Myliobatiformes; Dasyatidae.
UAAAAAAUAAAAUAAUCUUCUAACUUAACGUUUUUGGUUGGGGCGACCAAGGGGAAAAACAAAACCCCCUUAUCGAGUGGGUGAAAAGUCACUCAAAAUUAGAACUACAGUUCUAAUUAAUAGAAAAUCUAACGAAUAAUGACCCAGGAAAUAUCCUGAUCAAUGAACCAAGUUACCCUAGGG